AACGCGAAAGAAGCCUUCGGCUUUCAAGUAGAGUGGCGCCCGGGUGAGUAACACGUAGGUAAUCUACCUUCGGGUGGGGAAUAACGCAGGGAAACUUGCGCUAAUACCGCAUAAUGCAGCGGCACCACAUGGUGACAGUUGUUAAAGCGGGGGAUCUUCGGAUCUCGCGCCUGAAGAGGAGCCUGCGGCAGAUUAGCUAGUUGGUAAGGUAACGGCUUACCAAGGCGACGAUCUGUAGCCGGCCUGAGAGGGCGGUCGGCCACACUGACACUGACAUACGGGUCAGACUCCUACGGGAGGCAGCAGUCGGGAAUUUUGGGCAAUGGGCGAAAGCCUGACCCAGCAACGCCGCGUGAAGGAUGAAAUCCCUCGGGAUGUAAACUUCGCAAGAAUGGGAAGAAUGAACGAGCGCUAAUACCGUUCGUGAUGACGGUACCAUUUGUAAGCUCCGGCUAACUCCGUGCCAGCAGCCGCGGUAAUACGGGGGGAGC
This 491-nucleotide ribosomal RNA is filed under the name uncultured Acidobacteriota bacterium. RNAcentral's name for it is "bacterial SSU rRNA". It matches the Rfam family "Bacterial small subunit ribosomal RNA", at positions 65 to 535 of the family's 1533-position model. The record is from RNAcentral. Lineage: Bacteria; Pseudomonadati; Acidobacteriota.